Long non-coding RNA from Ziziphus jujuba (common jujube), 4558 nucleotides. RefSeq lists it as uncharacterized. The record is from RefSeq and is a predicted model, not a curated record. The transcript has 2 exons. Lineage: Eukaryota; Viridiplantae; Streptophyta; Magnoliopsida; Rosales; Rhamnaceae.
CACGUCAUUGGAUGGUACGGUUUUUUCGUAAAUAAAAUGGAAAUCCAAGGCCGGAAGUUAAAAUCCAGCAAAGGUCACCACAUUUUAUUUUAUUUUUUAUUUUUUUAUUUUUUCCCUCCACCUCUCAAAAGGGAUUCGAUGAGGAAUCGCGGAGCCCGGCCCCCAGCUUUUUCAAAACGAAGGAAAUGAAGAGCCCACCUGUAGUCGUUUGUCUAUCGGUCGGUCGGCUGGCCACGCGUCCGCAUUUUAUUGGCUAAGUGGAGUUUAAAUUACCACAAUGUCACUCCCGGCUGAUACAAACCCACACACUCGUUUAUCAUUCGCAAUCGUAGGGUUCGGUUUUUUCCUCUUCAAAACCAGAAAAAGAAAAUAAAAUUAAACCCAAAAAAAAAAAAAAAAAAAUGGAAGCAAAGAAAGGAAAAAAGUAAAAACUUUUCCUUCUCUCUCUCUCUCUCUCUCUCUAGAUUCUCUCUCAUCGAAGAGAUUGUUGUUAUUAGCUUUAGUUGGAUUGAUUAUUUGAUAUUGUAAUCUGGUGGUGGUGGUGGCGUUUGAUAUGGUUUAUCGGUGGUCUCUAAUUCGCUUGGUGCAGGUCGGGAACUUGUUCGCCUUUUUUUUUUUUUUUUUUUGGGGGGGACUUCAUUUUUUUUUUUUUUUUCCCCUUCUUCUUCUUCUUCCUCUUCCAAUUAGGUAGUUUCAGUGUUAUCUUGGUGAUUGGUUGUUUUUUUUGGGAGAGAAGAGGAAAAAAACAAAAACAAAAAAAAAGGCGAAAUGGGUCCCGCCUUGCAUCAACUGAAUCGGAGACCGCGGUGAAAAACGGCGUUUCUUUUAUGGAUCUUGCGUUUUCCUGUUUGUCGGAGCUCAGAUCUCAGGUUGGAGAUUUAUGUAUUUCUGGAUUAUAUAGAUAAUAUGUCUAUGUAUACAUAUAUUUGUCUGUGAAUUAGUGUUUUGUGUUAGCUUCUUUUUUUGUUUUUUGGCAUUUUGGAUCUAUUUAUUUUUUGUUUAAUCUUUUGAAACGAUGAAAGAUUGAUUGCAAAGGACAAUUGAUUUACGAAUCCGAGCUAUUGAUUUUUGAGCUAUGAUGUUCAAUGGGAUUAAUUUGUAUAUUUUGAGAAUUAAAGUCUGCUUUUUUUUUUUUUCCUUUUUUUUGUGGAUUUGCCACUGAAUUCGAAUUAUUAGAUUUCAAGGUUUUUCAUUUCCGUGGAAAUGAUUCUUGUUUAUGCGAACGAAAGCAAUGAAAUAAUUUGAUUGAAUCACUUUUUUUUUUUUUUUCCAAGAUCUGUAUAGCUGGUUGUUUGAAUUUGUGGAUAUAAUUGGAUUGACUUAGAUGGAUGCGAGGGUCAAAAAGUGCAAGCGAGCUAUUCAGAUCUGAUUGAUUGAGGCUCUUUAUACGUAUGCUCUGCUUGAUUUUGCAGUAGUAUGUACUUUAGUCAUGCAUAAAGGGACCGCAAAUCUAAAGGGAUUGUUAUGUAAAUAUGUGUAUAUAUGGAAAAUUUAGAUUCAAAAUCUUUAGCUUUUGUUAAUUUUAUGAUACCUCUCUUUAAUUUAAUCUGAAUGCAAUCUCUUCUUUUAGUCAACCACAAAGUUGACCAAUAGAAUAUUCAUUAGACAACCACUUUUUUUAAGUCGUCUAUUACCCUUAUAUAUGUUAAAAAUUAAUCAUUUUAGAAGAAAAAAUAAAUGCCUAUGUUAUUUAGUCUUUUUUAUUUUUUAUUAUUUUUAAAUUAAGUAGGAUAGAUUGUCAUUUUCAAAAAAAUUGAACCCCUCAGUUAGAUGGAGUCAAAAAAAGAGGUCUGCCUAAUCGUUUAAAUACCUAAGAAGUCUUUGUGUACUUCUCCCCAUAUAUAUAUACUGAUAAUAAAAGAAAAAGAAGGAAAAGAAAAAAACUUGAAUCUGGAAGCUAUAGCUUUGCUACAUUUUUAUUUUUAUAUUUUUAACACUUUUGGUAUGCUUGAAAACAUGUUUUUAAUCAGUAAAUGUCUUGAGCAUGCAUAAAAUCUAUGUAAAUAGAGUUGCUAAAUACAUUUUACUGUUCAAAAAGAUGAACGACGAAGAUCUUUAUUUUCUAUUUUUUUAAUUUUGUUAUUGGUGCAUAGUAUCUUACCACAUUAUUUUGCUCUCAUAAUCCAAUUUUAUGAUUGCUUUUAUUUUUAAUUUUCUGUUUGGCCUAGGUAUACUUUUCACUACAGUUUUGGUAGUUGUGUGGGUUUCACUUUUUCUUCCUUUACUGUCCUCUCCAUCAUUGUUUUUACUUUAGUUAGAUCUUUUUUUCCUUUUUAUUUGUCUUUGGAUCCAUAGUGUCCCACUAACAAAGUAUGCUCUGCUUUACUUGGUUUGAGUCACUGACAUCACUAAUUAUUCCUGUGUGGAGAUAGUGGUUAUUUAUGGUACUGGAAUUCUCCACCUAAGGGUCCAUUUAGUGAUGCCAAUGGAACAUCAUGUCUUUGGAAUAUGUUCAGAUCCCUCAUCCUGGGGGCAAAAAAAGGAAAAGAAAAGAACAGAAAUACUGUUUUGUCGGUAUAGUAACAUUAUUACGGUACAAUUAAUUGCUCAAUUAUAUAUAUAUAUAUAUAUAUAUUUUUUUCCCGGGUGGGCGAGGUCUGAGGGGAGGGAUGUUGUUGAGGGAGAUGAGGAUUACCAAGGGGAUUAAACUUGUUGACAAGAAUAAGCACCCAACAAGCUUGAAACUGGGAAUCAUAUCUGGAAGGUUGUCCUUAGAAUCUCAAACUGUAAAGAGUUUUAUAGAUAUGAAGCAAAGGAGAGGAACAUGUACGUGAUGUUUCUUUUUGUAUUAGAGGUGGAAGAUAGAAUAAAUGAAGCCAAUACUUUGUGUGGAAAAGAAAUGAGACUUCUCUUCUUUGAUUGAUGAUUUUGACCCUAGAAAUGGAUAUUAUGUGUUGAUGAUGGACAAGUGAUGGCUAUCUUUUAUUGCAACUAAAAUACAUUACAUCUUAGGCAUGAUGUAUACCCAAACUUAAUUAUUACCAGUUUUUAAUAACUGAUUUCAAAUUACUAUUUGAUCCAUUGGAUAUGUUUUGAUAGCAGCCUGGCAGAUGCUGUUCACUGUGCUUUUUUAGGGGACGUAGGGGUAUACAAAAUGGUGCUUCUGCUUAUAAGCUUCUUUUGCAAAGCAAUGUAGGAGGGCAUCUUUUGUCUCUCAUGCUUUGGAUUGCAUUGUCUCGGUCGCAUUGUGUUGACUGCCUUUGUGGUGUGCUGAGUUUUCACCUUCAGUUUUCUUCAGCUGCUUUUACAAUUGUUACAUCUUCGGUGAUGAUCUGAUGUGGAGCUUGUUAUGGUUCUUUCUUUCAUCUCCAUCAACUUUGCUUUUUCCCUUGUCGACUGUCUGCAGGCCUUCAUUUGGAGCUUUAGUCUGUCACUGGCUGUUUCUUCUUGAUCUUUCCAGCUUAAACAGUGAGUCGGUCAAUUUUGCUUUGGGUGCAAUGCAAGGCCUGUAUGCCAUUCUCUGCCCAGAUAAUUUUGAUAAUUUGCUUCCUCAAAAACCAAAUCUUAUUCCAAUGUCUUUGCCCUUUGAAAAUUGGCAUAUAUAACUUAUGCUUGCCAUUAGUUAUUUAGCCAUGUUGCUCACUUAUGCUUGCCAUUAGUUAUUUAGCCAUGUUGCUCCUUAGGAGCCGCCGCUAUUGUGGUAUGAUUGCUUGCUGGUGUUCAGACUCCACUCUUGUGGUGGCUGGUUGCUUGUCUAUCAUUUAAUUGACAGGCUUUUAGAUGUUGCUGUAUGAUUGGACGAGCCUGAUUUUUGUUUCUACAGCUUUGAUUCCACUUCUAUAUUUCCUAUGGAUGUGUUCAGCUCUGGAGGUCAGUUCUCUGAAUAUCUUCCUCAUCUCCUGUUUCGUUAAAUGUAUUGCUAGAAAGAUUUGGAACAUAUUUUAAGCUGCUGAAGUAGUUUUUAUUCGAUUUCUCUUUUCCUCAUUUAUGGUAUAUGCUGAUUCAUUUCUAUAAAUUAAUAUAGCAAAGGCCUUUCCUUUGAGAUUAUGUUAAUGAUUGGGAUCAGGUCUUGUAAAAGGUGUUCUGAAAUUAAUACAAGGAACACCAGCAUGCUUACGAGUCUAUUCCACUUUUUGUUCCGAGUAAGCCUUGUCCUUGGAAGAGCCAGUUUAUGGCAAGAAUGAAUCCACAAGCUGCUGAGAAUCUUAGGAGAUAGAAAGGUGACUAUGGAUUUGUACUUCUAUGUAUAGACGAUUACUUGAAUGGGAAGCACAAGUUUGUAUUGGGUACAAGUUCUCGAUGGACUUUUUAGUGACUAAAUGUCCCUAAAUGAACUUUUGUCGCUAAAAAGCAUCUUUUCGUUGUACAUGGUCUAAUUUUUAGUUGGAAACUUCUGAUGCAAUUGAAUGGGCCCGCUCCUUCAAAAUUGGGAAAUGGGUAAAUUAUGUUUAAAGGGGCCAACCCAUGGCCCAACUUGUUGAUAUGCCCAACUAUAAAUCGUGUUCGAAUGGGCUAGGAAUGUAUUGAAGGUGCCGAAUAGUUCAACAGGGAUCAUCAUUUUUCAUAUCAAACUAUUUAUUUAAAAUUCUUUCUGUUUUAAUGCGAAAACAAUUUGGAA